CAGGCCGUGAUCCGGCAGACGAGGUGUGGGGAUUAAAGGGGGCCAUCGCGGAAAGGGCGCUUGUCUUCGUCCCCCUCCUCCCGAGGACAUAUUAUUUGGAUAAUGGAAGAGUUAAAGGGCCCUGAGGGAGAUGGAGAAAGACAGGCACGACAAGCUCUGUUUGAAGGUACCCAGCUGUAAACAUCAUGAAGGAUGUGACGGGAGGCCUGCUCUGCUCCUUUAGGAGUCGUAUAUACAUUAAUCACUGAAUCACCAAGCCAUGCUUAAUUGCAUGUUGUAUAUCACACAAAUCCAUGGAACGCUGGGAACUGGAUGAAGGCACUAAUUGCAGUCAGCCUGGAGAGGGGAACCGAGCCUAGGUGGGGCCCACACCCACUGCUGGUGGCCCUGGCUUUUACAGCAAGAGCGGCGGAUAUCCCACCCCCAACUCCAUCCCCUCUAAGGGAGAACGUGCCGAACCCCAUUCCUCCUUGAGAGUUUACAGAACUGUUUAAAUGAUAAAGAAAAAAAAAGCCCACAGUAUAUUUUGCUUUGACAAAAUUAUUGAUUUAAAUCCCAUACAAUAGCACAAUACUAUUUAAAGGUCAAGCCAAGAAAAAUGAGUUUACACCCGACCAGAGCCAAGCUUAUCUGUCAUGAAAGUGUAAUGAUGUGUUUAUUCCUUCACUAUUGUGUGUAUAUUUUUCAGGAAGAUAUAAUAGUCUACUUGUAGGUGAAAUCUGCUCUCAAAUGGGAAUUUCAGGAGAUAUUUACAUUUCAGAUCGUAAGGGCUGUUAUCUUGGGCCUUGAUACCCAUUUCCUGGUAUUUAAUGGCCCCUGUUUAUUUACUCUGCCCGAGAAUCACUGUUCUCCUUCCUCAGGCCAAAAAUUAUUUCUCAAGGCCUACAAAUCAUUGCCUUUUCCUCUCUCUCCCUUUCAAAAAGGUAAGGCCACAAAUUGAAUAAGGAGGGAUUUCAGAUUACUUGGAUUUCUGACAUUUCUGUUUGUCCUUUUACAAGUCAACGAGAUAGCAAUAAAAUGCUCUGACUCCAUCACCUUGUAGAAAUAUCCAUCAUCAUAUGAUCUAUGUGUUUGUAUACAUAUACAUAUCCCGUUUUUCUUUUUUUUUUAAAUUGGUCAACUAAUUCAAGGCAGACCUUCCUUCCUCUGAUACCUCCUCUCCCAAAAGGGCCUUCUCACUUGCCCUCAUUUUAUACAAUAGCCUUUGGAAUAGGGGAGACUGUGGAAGCUAAGCCAAUAAGAGAUACAAAUUAUCCACACACAGUAACAUCAUAGCUGACAGCCUUACCCUAUAAGAAAGUCCAGGAAGCCCCUAGCCUGUGAUCUGGAACCUUGUGCUGGGAAGAAUCUUGGCUCGGUAUUCCUCAGAAUUCUUGCCAUUGGCUCUCCAUUAUCCACGGACCGCUUAUCUCUUCUUUAACUCAUCCAGAACCUGUGUCUCUCAUCAUCUCCCUGUAGCUGCCAACUCCCUGGGCAUAUUUCUGUAUAUUAUCAUCUCUGUGAGCAAUAGCAAGGGAUGAUGAUGGAAAACAGACACUUUUGUUGGCACAUCCAGUGAAAAGUUUGCAAAAGAAGAGGUUGAAGUCCCUAGCCAAAAUUUAAUUCAAAUUUAAAUGAGAACUGGGAGCUAACUCUAAUUGUCCAGAUUUUCUGGGUUUUCCCAUGAUAAUAGAUAACUAAGCCUUGGUUAUCCAAGAGUGGCCCAUGACUAAGGCAAAUUUUCAUUUUUCAUAAACAUUUCCAUUAUUAUAUACCUUCAUUCCUAUGUCAGAAUAUGUUGUAUGCUCAUCAUUUCUGGGGAAUAAAAAUUGACAUCAUUUUGGUCUGUGUUUCUGAAAUAAGAUAUUUAUAUGUUUAAAUUCACCUUUGUUAUUGAAUCACUGUCAUGUCUAAACUGGUUAUUAUGGGGAUUAUAUUUCCUCGGCUCCUCUUCCAUCACUCCCCAUGGAAAACCCGGAGUUGGUUGUACAUGAAUCUUCUGUCAUUCUAUUAGUGACAUUUCUCCUGCUCCUUUCUCUAGCCUCCCAAAUUCAAAUACAUUACUAACUCAACCUGCUCUUCUCCAAUAGAUUACUAGGAUCUUCAACUCCACUGACAUCAUCCACUUUCCUGCAAUCCUAUCCAAAACACACACACACACACACACACACACACACACUCUUUGAAUGUUUAAUUUUUAUCUUCUUGAUCAAAUUUUUUUUAUUUGAGUCUACUAUUUAAUCUCUUCAGCAGACAACAUCCAUGUAUAAAGGUAAAUAUAAUGCUUUUUAUUAAUACUUUAUUAUUAAUUUUUUAUUUUACUUAUUUUUAUUUAAAUAAAAUAUUAUUAUUUUUAUUAAUACUUUUUAUCUUCAAAACAUAUGCAUGGAUAAUUUUUCAACACUGACCCUUACAAAACCUUGCGUUCCAAAUUUUCCCCUCCUUCCCCCCACUCCCCCUCCCCUACAUAUCAGGUAAUCCAAUAUAUGUUACACAUGUUAAAAUAUGUUAAAUCUAAUGUAUGUAUACAUAUUUGUACAAUUAUCUUGCUGCACAAGAAAAAUCAGAUCAAAAAGGAAAAAAAUAAGAAAACAAAAUGCAAGCAAACAACAACAAAAAGAAUGAAGAUGCUAUGUUGUUUGAUCAAAUAUCUUUUGGUUUCCCUCUAUUGCAGAAAUAAACAGGACCAGAAUCUAGACUCACAUUUUUCCUACUAAGACCAUCUGAAUGUCCUAAGAUAUUAGCAACCAGAAGAAUGAAAAC
This is a long non-coding RNA of Antechinus flavipes (yellow-footed antechinus), 2742 nucleotides long. RefSeq lists it as uncharacterized. NCBI's taxonomy places the organism in Eukaryota, Metazoa, Chordata, Mammalia, Dasyuromorphia, Dasyuridae. The transcript is spliced from 3 exons. The record is from RefSeq and is a predicted model, not a curated record.